UACGUAGGGUGCAAGCGUUAAUCGGAAUUACUGGGCGUAAAGCGUGCGUAGGCGGUUCGUUAAGUUCGUUGUGAAAGCCCCGGGCUCAACCUGGGAACUGCAAUGGAAACUGGCGGGCUUGAGUGUGGCAGAGGGGGGUGGAAUUCCGCGUGUAGCAGUGAAAUGCGUAGAGAUGCGGAGGAACACCGAUGGCGAAGGCAGCCCCCUGGGCCAACACUGACGCUCAGGCACGAAAGCGUGGGGAGCAAACAGG
Molecule: ribosomal RNA, 253 nt
Filed under: uncultured bacterium
Lineage: Bacteria
Description: partial 16S ribosomal RNA
Rfam family: Bacterial small subunit ribosomal RNA
Source: RNAcentral